UAUAACGUGCUUGAUAAAAAGAUUAUCUUGAUAGGGUAAAAAAUGGAAGUCAGCCUUCCCGUUAUUG
Molecule: transfer RNA, 67 nt
Filed under: Lysmata vittata
Lineage: Eukaryota; Metazoa; Arthropoda; Malacostraca; Decapoda; Hippolytidae
Description: tRNA-Ile
Source: RNAcentral